AGCCUUUCUCCUUUUAUAAGCAUGAUGGUUGGGUGUUCACAAAUUUGUGUGAUAUGUGCCUCCAUUAAGUCUUGUUACAUAUUUGGCACAUUACCUAUCUGAAC
This is a small nucleolar RNA of Sorex araneus (European shrew), 104 nucleotides long. The record is from Ensembl. Lineage: Eukaryota; Metazoa; Chordata; Mammalia; Eulipotyphla; Soricidae.